AAGGCUCCCGGUAGACGACCGGGUUGAUAGGCCGGAGGUGGAAGCGCAGUAAUGUGUGGAGCUGACCGGUACUAAUAGGCCGAGGACUUGACCAU
This 95-nucleotide ribosomal RNA is filed under the name Thiemannella venezuelensis. RNAcentral's name for it is "Planomonospora venezuelensis Bacterial large subunit ribosomal RNA". It matches the Rfam family "Bacterial large subunit ribosomal RNA", at positions 2830 to 2925 of the family's 2925-position model. Lineage: Bacteria; Bacillati; Actinomycetota; Actinomycetes; Streptosporangiales; Streptosporangiaceae. The record is from Rfam by way of RNAcentral.